Molecule: long non-coding RNA, 1542 nt
Organism: Electrophorus electricus (electric eel)
Lineage: Eukaryota; Metazoa; Chordata; Actinopteri; Gymnotiformes; Gymnotidae
Source: RefSeq, a predicted model, not a curated record
UAAUAGAUACACCCAUUCUGAUACUCUGUUGCAUCACCCUUUCCUAUUUGACCAAAGAGCACGCGCAAUUUAGGAAAGCACAAAACAACUAACCAUCAGACAAUUCAUGAGUACACAGACCUGACUGAAACUAGCUGCCUGUAGGUACUGCUGUACAAUAGCUAAAAAAGUGAUCUCUCAGUGAUGAAUGUAGCUUUUAAAUAGUGGAGAUAUUAAUUUGACUUUAUAAUCCACAUUUCUGUAAAUUCAGAGCUGGUAGAAAGGAAAGUGUGUAUGUGUGUCUGUAUUUAUUCCUUGUUCAUGGUACUUUUAGCGUGUGUAGUGAGCUUGUGUUGUGAGUAACUGAAACUUAUUGUAGUUUACUUAUUGUAGGGUAUUGUUUGUUAUUGCACUUAUCGUUGUCUCUGCUGGAGCUUAUAUCUAUUUUACACUUCUAGGCAUCAGUAUUGAUCCCUGUAUUUCUACAGUAUCAAUCCCUGCAUUUCUACAGUAUUCUAGAUCAUUGGACAACAGCCCAAGGUGGCCAUCGCUGUGUAGAAAACAACUAAAUGAAAAUGACACGUUAAACCGAUGUGAUGCCCAGCAGGUUCAUGGUACUGGGAUAAGAGCACUCCAACAGAAAGAAAUCAGAAGUAGAGGAAGGAGCGCCCUCUUGUGUUGAGAUCGAUGAAGUAUUCAACAAAGAUCAAACUAGCAAAACUGCAGGUUCUGCAAAUAGUCUUCAGAGGUGUCCUCACUAAAAUCGCUGCUUACUGAACUAAGCUGCAUAAAGAUCUGACCUCACUUUGAUACAGACACCCCUCCAUAUAAUGAUGUAAAGUUUUUGUAAAGUGUUCAGGAGUCUCAGACUAAUUUAAUUUAAUUUGUUGCCACAAAAUCUAAUUUUACAAUCAAUUCUAAUUUGAUCAAUAAAUGUGAUUUAGAUUUGAAAGCAAGACUUUGCAACUCAUAUACUGACAAAAGCAAUCAUUCUGUAUGUUUAUAAUGAACAAACAAAUCAAACACCAUCUUAAAACCCAUUAGAGACAAUUUUUAUUUCACACUUUAUUUUAAUGUGCAAGUGGUUUCACAAAUUCAUAGAGUGAAAUAUAAUUUCCAAUAAACAUUGAUUACAUUUUGGUGACAAGUGGAGUGGGGUUAGAACAAUAGGAUCAUAUCAUCGAAUACUAUCUAGUUCCUUUUACGGGUUAGGAAGGGCCAAUAGCUCUAUUAACUGAUGUAGACAUUGAACAUUUAACAGUCCAUGUCUCCCCCAAAGAUCUGUCCAGCUCUGUCUUAAUAAGAUAACUCAUUGGGGCCAAAUACACAUAGAAUAUUUCUAUUUAAAAUGUAUAAAUAUUUUGUGUUUGAGAAUAAGAUCCCUAUACUACUUCUUUUUUGGUUCUCUGAAGUUACAGUAGAAUGCAGUCUUCUUAUAUAAAAUACUCUACUGCAUAGACUGAAAGUGAUCAUAAAGUGCUAUAAAAUUUGUUUCAAAAUACCUGAUCUUUAUUGCUGUUUUUGCUAUAGCUCGUCCAAAGCCCUGUUAGAAAGAGGAAAAAA